This 881-nucleotide ribosomal RNA is filed under the name human gut metagenome. Its description in RNAcentral is "bacterial SSU rRNA". It matches the Rfam family "Bacterial small subunit ribosomal RNA", at positions 8 to 910 of the family's 1533-position model. The record is from RNAcentral.
AGAGUUUGAUCCUGGCUCAGAACGAACGCUGGCGGCAUGGAUUAGGCAUGCAAGUCGAACGGUGCAGCAAUGCACAGUGGCGCAAGGGUGAGGAACGCGUGAGUAACCUGCCCUCAAGUUGGGAAUAGCUCCUGGAAACGGGAAUUAAUACCGAAUGUGACCAUUUUAAGGCAUCUUGAAAUGGUUGAAGGCCGCAAGGUCGCUUGAGGAGGGGCUCGCGUCCCAUUAGCUAGUUGGUGAGGUAACGGCCCACCAAGGCGAAGAUGGGUAGCUGGUCUGAGAGGACGAUCAGCCACACUGGGACUGAGAAACUGCCCAGACUCCUACGGGAGGCUGCAGUCGAGAAUUUUGGGCAAUGGGGGCAACCCUGACCCAGCAAUGCCGCGUGCGGGAUGAAGGUCUUCGGAUUGUAAACCGCUGUCAAGAGGGACGAAGAAAAUGACGGUACCUCUGGAGGAAGCCACGGCUAACUACGUGCCAGCAGCCGCGGUAAUACGUAGGUGGCGAGCGUUGUUCGGAUUCAUUGGGCGUAAAGGGUCCGCAGGUGGUCUGAUAAGUCUGACGUGAAAUACCGGAGCUCAACUCCGGAACUGCGUUGGAGACUGUUGGACUUGAGUAUCGGAGAGGAAAUUGGAAUUCCAGGUGUAGCGGUGGAAUGCGUAGAUAUCUGGAAGAACAUCGAAAGCGAAGGCAGAUUUCUGGACGAUAACUGACACUCAGGGACGAAAGCAUGGGGAGCAAACAGGAUUAGAUACCCUGGUAGUCCAUGCCCUAAACGUUGUAAACUUGAUAUGGGGAGAUUUACUCCUUUCCGUGUCGAAGCUAACGCGAUAAGUUUACCGCCUGGGAACUACGGCCGCAAGGCUAAAACUCAAAGGAAU